UACGUAGGGUGCAAGCGUUGUCCGGAAUUAUUGGGCGUAAAGAGCUCGUAGGCGGUUUGUCGCGUCGGCUGUGAAAACCUAGGGCUCAACUCUGGGCUUGCAGCCGAUACGGGCAAACUAGAAUUCGGUAGGGGAGACUGGAAUUCCCGGUGUAGCGGUGAAAUGCGCAGAUAUCGGGAAGAACACCUAUGGCGAAGGCAGCUCUCUGGGACGGUACUGACGCUGAGACGCGAAAGCGUGGGGAGCGAACAGG
This 253-nucleotide ribosomal RNA is filed under the name uncultured bacterium. RNAcentral's name for it is "partial 16S ribosomal RNA". It matches the Rfam family "Bacterial small subunit ribosomal RNA", at positions 524 to 776 of the family's 1533-position model. The record is from RNAcentral.